AGUUUCUGUGGGAGGUGGCACGGGGUGGAUGUCAGAGGCUGCCCUCCAGGUGCUGGCAAUCUUGCUUGCCAUCCUCCACCCCCAAACAGCAUACCCACCUCGAAGUGAGAGACCAUGGCAUCCAUGAGCUCCUCGCAGAAUGGAGGGUUGGCCUCAAAGGAACCACUCAGCGGGGAGAAGUCCAGGCAGGGCCUGGGGACAGAGAUGACGGAACCCAAGUGCAGAGAGGCUAAGUGAUGAGCCCCAGGUCACAGAACCAGCACUUAGUGGAACGGACUCCAACAGGUCUGUCCCCCGACAGCACAUGCUCUCAGCCACUGGGCUCGAGUGCCAUCCCCAAGCCCAACUGGCCAACCCCUGCUCCUGCUCAGGGUGGAUGAAAACAAAGGAGGCCGUGGCCCAGGAGACAGCUACCUUCUCGCUGCUGGCACAGCUCCCGGUAGUGCUGCCGAAGCUUCAGGAUGAGCUGGGAGCGGAGCAGCUCCACCUCGGGAUGCGGGGGCAGCACCUCUGAAGGGCCCCGGUGCUUGAUGACAGCGUUGGUCUGGAUAUCGAGAUCCCAGUACACCCUUGGGGGGUGGAGGAGCAAUGAGGAAAGUAGAGAAAAGGGAGGAAGGGCACCCUGCCCGUCACCACAACCUCAGCCCCAGGCACCAACAAUGGGUGCCCCCAAGCCAAUCCACAAGGACUCACUCAGUGGGUCGGAGGAGAGCUGCCUGCUGUUUAUCUUCAGGGGAUGUUCCCCAAAUCUUCAGUGUUGGGGUUCCUGGGAUGCUGGGGGAACUGGGCACCGAUGGACCUGUGGGUGUCACAGGGAUUUCGAUCUGGAGCAAAAGAGUCAAAGACAUCAAGUUAGAAGCGUUGGCCGAUGGCUCCAGCGCUGUGUACACUGGGGAGCUGUGCACGGGGCUCCCCUCCUGACUAACCUGACAGGCCCAGCUGCCUACCAGGAAGCUGAGACACUCACCUUGGGCUUCUUCACACCAUUGCCGCUUGGCUGCUCUUCUGAGAGCUGCCGCUUUCGGGACUUGUUCUCAGCUGGAGGGGUUUCCACCAAGCUUGAGUCUUGGGGCAGUGGGGUCGCAUUCAGCCCCAAAGGGUCCGACUGGAGGAGGAGACCAGCAGAGUUGCAACCAGAGCCAGCAGCUUAGGAGUCCCAGUACUGCGGAAUCCUGAUGGCCCCCCACCCCCUGCUCCUACUCCUCAGAGAAGAACAGGGGGCUGGGAUGCAGAACACUGGGUACUACUCCUGCCUGCUACUUGCAACUAUGUGACCUUGGGAGUUACUUCCCUUCCUAAUUCCCUCACCUUCAAAACGGCCACGAUACCUCACCACUGAGAUGAUGAUUAAACAAGUCAAUGAAUAUGACCAGCUUAAUGUGGCAUCUGGCAUGAGGUCAGCACUCAAUGUGUUAGCUUUUUCCUUAAGAACCAAAAUGAAAGUCAGGAAUGAAGAGAAAAUUCAAGAAAUGCUUGUUUUUUAAAAAGCAAGGCCCUGUGGUGGAACUCCUUUGGUGACAGAAUAUGAAAGUGAUGGUGGGCAGUGGGGCCCUGAAAUCACAUCAGGUACAAAUCCUGCUCUGCCUCUUACUGGCUGUGAGGUCCUGAGCCAGUCUUUUCGCCUCUCUGAGCCUCAAUGUCUUCAUCUGCAAAAUGGGAAUGCCAACUGGCUUGACUGUUUCCAAGGAAAGAAAGGCUGCCCAAACUGACAGAUUCAGAAGCCCGUGCUCCCACCAGACCGCCCGUGCCUCCCUUACCACAAUGACAUCGAAGUUCCUAGAAUGCACAUGCCCCCCCUUACCACUUUCCCUUAGCCAGUCUUCUCAUCUUAACCACUAACUCAGAGAAGCAUUCAGAAAACCCCACCCCACCCCCAGACCCAGUCAGGAUCCCUGAUGUACUCUAACAUCCUCCUUCACAAAAGUGCCACGUCGUAAUCCUAGUCCCCUCCAGUAGAUCCCUGAGUUCAAAGGCAGGACCAUGUCUAUCUUGUUCACACUGCAUCCCAAGCACAGUGCCCAACAUGUCAUACAAGUUCAGUAUCACAUACUAUUCUAGCCAGCUGUUCAUAUGCCAGUUUCCCUAUAUGAGACUAGGUUCCAUGAGAUGGGACUGUUUUGUUAUCAUAGUACCCCCAGAACUAGGCACAUAAUAGUGUUCAGGGUACAUUUGGGGAAGAUCCAGAUGCCAGAGGCUGCUGUGAGACCCCUACCCGAGGCUGGAACUUACAAUAACGUCGUGCUGGCCCAGCACAGGCAUCUCCCAUAGAGACUGGUUGGUGAAUCUGUUAAAGUAGUAGGGCCGGUUCUCCCUCCUGCUCCAGCACUUCUCCCAGCCCGCAUGUACCAGCUCCUCUGCAAACAAGUAUGGAACCCAGCCUGGGUCAGGGCUCCUCCUGGGGCGCCCUCUGACCCCGCCACCCUGCCACUGCCCCUUGCCAGUACCUGGGAGGUCCUGCACCAGGCGGAUGGGCUUUGGAGAAGAGGGCUGGCUCUGAUUGGAGGUGCCCGGGGAGUGACUCAGCAAGGAUGCUUCCUCCCGGGGGCUGCCGUGGUUCUCAUUGGCCAUCUCAGCACCCACACCGGACCUGCCACACAGAGGACCAAAGGGUGUCAGGGCCAUCAGGGCAUGGAGGUCACUUCCACCCACCACCCAGCAACUACAAGCUAGAGGGCCCCAGUGACCACCUGCAGAUGUGGAGCUCAAUCCCGUCCCGUCCUGGAGGGCCAGCAUGGUGCCCUAGCAGCCUGGGAAUCUAGGCUGCAGUUUCCUCAACUGUAAAAUGGGGCACUCCUAUUGUUCCUUUCACCUGGCAUAUGCUUUCUCCAAUUGUCUGCCUGGCUUGCCACUAGGUUCUCAUCCUCCAGGAAGCCUUCCUUGACUCUUCCCUCCCCAAGCAAGGCAGUCAGAGCCCCUCCUCAGGGCUAUAAACAUCUACAUUGUAGCACUCAGUCUGUGGUCUAUGAGCUGGAUUUUUCUCCCCAUUAAACUGUCACAACUCCCAGGACUGGGAAUUGGGUCCAGUUUAGCGUUCUCCAGAGUGCUCAGCAGGGUACCUGUCCCCAGCAGGAGGUCUAUUUAUUCUGAAAAUAUUUCCAAAGCAGCAAGUGACAAGACAGAACAGGGUCUAUCUUUGAGAAGCUGCUCCCACAAGAAGGAACUGUCACUCCUCUUUCCGCUCCUAUCCAGUAAAAUCUAAUGGGCACAAAGCACAGCCAGGAAGGGACAUGACAUCUAAAUAGAUGCCUCAUUUUACACUACAGGGUGGGAAGCAGGAAGAAAUCUGUUGCUAAAGACCCAGUGGAACCAAGGAAUAUUGAAUUCAGUCCUUCAUAAUCUCCAGGUGAAAUUUUAUUUCAAUAGCAGGAAGGAGGUCAGCUCCUUCAGAUGUGUAUUACCUACUAGCCCCACCCAAAAUACACCCAACACAUGUCUUGAUGAACAAGUAGUUCUCAACCUGGCCAUUAGACUCCUAGAUGGCCAACUGUGACCAGACUGGUGAUCCUAAUGGUGUUUUCAAUAUGUCAAUACCCCAAAGAAAUCAAACAUACCCACCAAAAGACCACAAAGGCACAUUUAAACAUCAGUUAUCUUUGCUUGCUGAAAUUUUAUCAAUUCACUGUGGUCACACUGAUUAUCUCAUGCUGAUCAGAAGCUCUGAUUGGCUGUUGACAACAUCAUAGGAAUCACUGGGACAUUGAUUUUAUUGUACACUCAGUCGUAGACAUCUUUUGUUAAUUUGGAAAGGGAAAAGUAAAUGGUUGUUUCAUUGGUACAGUUUGGCAAAUGAAAAUGCAGGAAGCAAAAGGACAUCCAUACAACAAAAAGGUUUGGAAUCACUGACCAAGGGGAGAAAAAGCUGUAGUUGCCUUGGUUCUCUGUGGAAGAGGGGUUCCUGGUGCCUUGGGGCUGAGCCCACAGGUCUCAAGGCUGAACGAGUUCCCUCUUUUUCUCACCCUCCAAGGUCUGCAAUACUAGCAUGAGAGGAUUUUCUUCUCCGGCCGGAUGGACCCCGAGUCACAGGGUCCCACAGAGGCAGGGAAGAGGCCUGCAGAAAGGCUCAGCACGUGGGUGGG
Long non-coding RNA from Myotis myotis, 4076 nucleotides. RefSeq lists it as uncharacterized. The record is from RefSeq and is a predicted model, not a curated record. NCBI's taxonomy places the organism in Eukaryota, Metazoa, Chordata, Mammalia, Chiroptera, Vespertilionidae. The transcript has 2 exons.